RNAcentral lists this ribosomal RNA (121 nucleotides) under Streptococcus equi subsp. equi. The record is from RNAcentral. Lineage: Bacteria; Bacillati; Bacillota; Bacilli; Lactobacillales; Streptococcaceae.
UUAAGUGACGAUAGCCUAGGAGAUACACCUACACCUUACCCAUGCCGAACACAGUAGUUAAGCCCUAGAACGCCUGAAGUAGUUGGGGGUUGCCCCCUGUGAGAUACGGAAGUUGCUUAGC